UGGUGUUGGUGUUUGCAGUCCAAAGAGU
This 28-nucleotide non-coding RNA is filed under the name Homo sapiens (human). The record is from RNAcentral. Lineage: Eukaryota; Metazoa; Chordata; Mammalia; Primates; Hominidae.